This is a long non-coding RNA of Fukomys damarensis (Damara mole-rat), 504 nucleotides long. RefSeq lists it as uncharacterized. The record is from RefSeq and is a predicted model, not a curated record. The transcript is spliced from 4 exons. NCBI's taxonomy places the organism in Eukaryota, Metazoa, Chordata, Mammalia, Rodentia, Bathyergidae.
GUGCGGACAGCAUCCGAGGCUGCUGUACUCAAGAAGAUGUGGCAUCCAGCUAUCACAGAAAUGAAGGAAAGGGGACACAGAGCUCCUGCCUCUUCUUGCUUCAUCGCGAGAGGGCAAAAAAUGGAGACAGCGAGAGAGGGUUGGAAAGAUGUUGGCCAAAGGUCGCAACACUCGAGUCAGAAGAAAUGAGUUCAAGAGAUCCACUGUGCGACGUCCUCCGGUGUGCUGGGAUUUCCAGCGUGCGCCACUACGCCCGGCGAUGAAGAAACCAUUUCAAGACAGAAGCCAUUGUUAAAUCAAGAGGAAGCACGGGUGCAUAGUCUCAGUUGGAAGUGACAGAAAUCGAACUCCAGUCCACUUAAGCCGAAGAGGAAUGUAUCAGCUCUUGAAACUGGGAAGUCUAGAAACGUGGAUGGCGUCAUCAGAACGGCUUGACCCAGGGGCUCAAAUGUUAUUGUCAGCUUUCCCCUUUUGCCUCCCUCUUAAAACAUUAAAAGUAAACGA